This 1024-nucleotide long non-coding RNA is filed under the name Cicer arietinum (chickpea). Its description in RNAcentral is "long non-coding RNA (CARI_LNC001072)". Lineage: Eukaryota; Viridiplantae; Streptophyta; Magnoliopsida; Fabales; Fabaceae. The record is from RNAcentral.
ACGGUGAUGCCUUCUUUUUCUUCUUCUCUUUCUUUUUAUGUGUUUUUAUCAGUAUUAAUCUCCGAUUUUCUUUCAUUUCUUUGAAAUUUGAUAAGGUGUAUUUAUAGAGUUUUUUUUAUCUGUUUAGUUGCUUUCUUUGCCUGCCUUGGUCCCUCUCUAUCAAUUUCUUGUUUGAUGUUUCAUUUCCUUUGCUCAUCAUCUGCGUUUUUUUCUACACCUCUGAUUCAUUCAUGGUUUUGACUUAUUUGUUUUGAUCUGUUCUGUUGCUGAGCUUUAAUUUGUCCCUUAGUUUAUUUUUUAAACUCAAAAUUUUGUCUUUUUGUUCAGCACAAUGUGUACCAAGACUGAUUUUAAAAAAUUAUAUUUUUUUAUGUUUAUCAAAAUAGUUACAGCAAAGGUCAAUAACACUGCAUCUGAAACAGAAAGGCACCAACAAAACAGAGCCAAACACUGCAUCAGAAACAUAGAGGCAACAACAGCAACAAAACAGAGCCAAGGCUUAAUUUGAAAAAGUUUGACCUAAUUUUUAUUGUAAUUUAAUUUGGCUUUAUUGUUUGUUGCAAUUUGAAAUUGUAAUUUGAUUUAAAUUUAGAAUUGUAAUUGUAAUUUGAUUUGGUAUUAAAAAAAUUAUGAGCCUAAUCAUUGUAAUUAUUUUAUUUCCCUUUUUAAAAUACAUAUUUCAUUUUUUAUUUUAUUUUUAAAUAAAUUGGACAAAAUUAGGGUACUACACUAAGUCUUGGAGUGUAAAAUUUAAUUAGACAUCUAACUCCGCCUGCAACGGAGUUUGGGUUUUCCGUCCGCACCCGCAUUUGAAAAAGUUUGACCUAAUUUUUAUUGUAAUUUAAUUUGGCUUUAUUGUUUGUUGCAAUUUGAAAUUGUAAUUUGAUUUAAAUUUAGAAUUGUAAUUGUAAUUGUAAAUUGAUUUGUAAAAAAAAAAAAUUUAUGAGCCUAAUCAUUGUAAUUAUUUUAUUUCCCUUUUUAAAAUAUAUUUCCUUUUUUUAUUUAUUUUUAAAUAAAUUGGACA